This 465-nucleotide ribosomal RNA is filed under the name Vreelandella stevensii. RNAcentral describes it as "partial 16S ribosomal RNA". It matches the Rfam family "Bacterial small subunit ribosomal RNA", at positions 338 to 795 of the family's 1533-position model. Lineage: Bacteria; Pseudomonadati; Pseudomonadota; Gammaproteobacteria; Oceanospirillales; Halomonadaceae. The record is from RNAcentral.
CCUACGGGAGGCAGCAGUGGGGAAUAUUGGACAAUGGGGGCAACCCUGAUCCAGCCAUGCCGCGUGUGUGAAGAAGGCCCUCGGGUUGUAAAGCACUUUCAGUGAGGAAGAACGCCUGGUGGUUAAUACCCAUCAGGAAAGACAUCACUCACAGAAGAAGCACCGGCUAACUCCGUGCCAGCAGCCGCGGUAAUACGGAGGGUGCGAGCGUUAAUCGGAAUUACUGGGCGUAAAGCGCGCGUAGGUGGCUUGAUAAGCCGGUUGUGAAAGCCCCGGGCUCAACCUGGGAACGGCAUCCGGACCUGUCAAGCUAGAGUGCAGGAGAGGAAGGUAGAAUUCCCGGUGUAGCGGUGAAAUGCGUAGAGCUCGGGAGGAAUACCAGUGGCGAAGGCGGCCUUCUGGACUGACACUGACACUGAGGUGCGAAAGCGUGGGUAGCAAACAGGAUUAGAUACCCUUGUAGUC